Molecule: ribosomal RNA, 481 nt
Filed under: uncultured bacterium
Lineage: Bacteria
Description: partial 16S ribosomal RNA
Rfam family: Bacterial small subunit ribosomal RNA
Source: RNAcentral
AUUGAACGCUGGCGGCAUGCUCUACACAUGCAAGUCGAACGGUAACAGGCCGCAAGGUGCUGACGAGUGGCGAACGGGUGAGUAAUGCAUCGGAACGUGCCCAGUCGUGGGGAUAACUAACCGAAAGAGUAGCUUAUACCGCAAUCGAACUUUUGAUUAAAGCGGGGGACCGGAAGGCCCUGGCCCAAUUGGGCGGCCGAUGUCCGAUUAGGUAGUUGGUGGGGUAAAGGCUCACCAAGCCAACGAUCUGUAGCUGGUCUGAGAGGACGACCAGCCACACUGGGACUGAGACACGGCCCAGACUCCUACGGGAGGCAGCAGUGGGGAAUUUUGGACAAUGGGCGCAAGCCUGAUCCAGCAAUGCCGCGUGCAGGAAGAAGGCCUUCGGGUUGUAAACUGCUUUUGUACGGAACGAAACGGCUCUGGUUAAUACCCGGGGCUAAUGACGGUACCGUAAGAAUAAGCACCGGCUAACUACGUG